GGUGUCUCGCGACGGUCGUUGUGCGUCUCGCCUAACCUUGAUCUAUUAUCCAGACCAGCACAAAACUGUGUUCACAUCAGAGAGCUUGAAGUGCAUAUGACUUCAGAACAGACAUGGAGACACCGGUGAAGGACAACGCUGAGGGACGAGCGUGCUGCAGGAUCGGGACGGGCGACCUGUCACUGCCGAACGCAUGAGGACGUGUUAACCUCCACAGUAUUGCCACCCUCAGUCCAUAAGAGAGGAAUAUUAUGGGUGAUUGGUGGGUGUUGAUGCAACAGUAGCAGGGAGCUGGUUACUUCUGCAAGCUGCCCGCUGGCUCACCGAUUCAACCUUGAUAAAAUGACUGAGGUGAGCAGACCUGUCCGUGGAAGAGGAUUUUCAUAAUCAGCACCUGCAGCCCUGAAGAUUGUACCUUUGGAGGAUGCGAUUAUCAUGGACAUACAUUGACGCUUUACAAAACUUAAAAACUUGUUUGAGUUAGCACAUGUCUGACCCGAAGUACUCUGUGGGAGUUUAGUCAUGAAAAUUUUGG
Triplophysa dalaica is the source of this 535-nucleotide long non-coding RNA. RefSeq lists it as uncharacterized. The record is from RefSeq and is a predicted model, not a curated record. NCBI's taxonomy places the organism in Eukaryota, Metazoa, Chordata, Actinopteri, Cypriniformes, Nemacheilidae. The transcript is spliced from 3 exons.